GUAAUCAGGCAUGUCUCACCAGUAUCACAAGCUCUCCUCAAUACUUCUAUCGCCUCGGGCACAAACAUCCAAAGCAUAACUCUACAAUCUGUCACAACGGCACGAUUUCAGGGGGAGUAUCACAAACUCUCUCCGACGCUUCUGUCACUCUAGCCGGAAGCCUUCUCGCCCAUCUUUGGAGGAGAGUAUCAUAAACUCUCAUCAACACUUCUGUCGUUUUGGCUAGAAGUCGUCUCAUUCCAAGGGGAGUAUCACAAACUCUCCACGAUACUUCUGUCGCUUCGGCCAGAAGCUGUCACAAUUCGGGGGGAGUAUCACAAACUCUCUCCGACACUCCUACCACUUCAGCCAGAACAUAUUUUUAUGCAGGUUUCAAAGGGGAGUAUCACAAGCUCUCCCGACUUUUCUGUCGCUCCGGCUGGAAAUUGUCAAAUUUCGAGGGGGAGUAUCACAAGCUCUCCCGACAUUUCUGUCGCUCCGGCCAGAAAUCGUCAUAUUUUAAGGGGGAAUAUCACAACUCCCUUCAGCAAACCUCCAGGUUCCUCAAAAAACAACCCCAAUGCUAAGUCGGCUAGUUAACAC
RNAcentral lists this long non-coding RNA (582 nucleotides) under Zostera marina. RNAcentral describes it as "long non-coding RNA (ZMAR_LNC004538)". The record is from RNAcentral. Lineage: Eukaryota; Viridiplantae; Streptophyta; Magnoliopsida; Alismatales; Zosteraceae.